GAAGGAGCCAGGCACACCAUCCGUCUGGAUAUGGCUGUGGAAAUCGGGACAACCAUCUUGCCCCAGGGGUGAGUGACAUCAACACUGGCACCAUUCUAGAUGAUGAAACUGAGGGACUAUUUAAUAAAGUGGCUAGUCCAACCAGAAGAAGAGUGAAAAAAUAAAAUAGUUAUUAUUCUAGAGGGAGAAGUGAGAGCUGAACCUGAGUGAUGUCAGGUAUUUUGCCCAUUGUCCUUGAAUGAUUUUAUCCAAUCAUCCAUCAUAACUUUUUAGUUUUAUGGAUUAAAAGUAAUUCUUAUCUGUUUGAAUGAAAAAAAUUGAAGUGUAAAAUUCAUUUUUUUUCCUCAGUUAAUAGCAGCACUGGAUCUAGAAUCUAGAAUGCUUGACUAAAAGUCUUUUUCUACUGCACCACGCAAUCUCAAGAUACCUACUCAGUCCUUACUGUUGGUUUUAUGGCUGCCCACUGCUGAAAAACUUUAUACUACUUAUGGGAAAAAGUCCAGCUACUUUUAAAAUCAUUUUACCAAAGCAACAUUCCAGUUCCCUGCUUUUGGUACAUAUAUUAGGCAAAUAAAAAUGUAAAAUUUUGGGGAGUUCCUCUUGUGGCACAGCAGGUUAUGAAUCCGACUGGUAUCCAUGAGGAUGUAGGCUUGAUCCCUGUCCUUGCUCAGUGGGUUAAGGAUCCGGAAUUGCCAUGAGCUGUGGUGUAGGCUGCAGACAUGGCUCAGAUUCUACAUUACUAUGGCUGUGGUGUAGGCUGGCAGCUGCAGCUCUGAUUGCACCCCUAGGCUGGGAACUUCUAUGUGCCAAAGGUGCGGCCACCCCCCCACCCCAAAAAGAAAAACUUCCAUUGCAUGUUUGAAAACCAUCCCAGAUGAUUUCAAAGGCAAGUUAUCAUUCCACUUUUUACAAGUUUUUAUGCUUAUUUCUAUGAGAAACAUUAUAUGUGCAAAUUGAAAGAAUAUUUGGAUAAGUGAAAAAAUAAUUAUUUAUCAUCUGAUUCCAAUCUAACAUUAUUUCUGGCAUUUGGGUUAUUUCUUUUCAGUGUAUUUUCUCUGUAUCCAUUUCCAUUCAUGUAGUUAUAUUAUUGGUAGUCCUCUCCACUUAUUAAAGUAGAGGGAUUUCUCUUUGUUAUAAUUCUUUGUAGCCAUUCACACUUUAUAAUGGUUCAUUAAUUGAGUGAUCAUUCCACAACUUAAUCAUUCCAUAUUUUUGAAAUUUAGAUUGUUUCCUUUUUUAUGCUAUUUUCAUGUACCACUGCUGUGAACCUUUUCAAGCAUAAAUAUUUUUAUUAUUUAAAGUUAUUUCUUUAGAUUAGAUCAAAAGGAUAUAUUCAUUCAAAAGGCUAUUGAUAUAUGCCAUUGAAUUAUUUUUUAAAAUGAUUUUACCAUUUUAUACUGCUUACAUGGUAUUUAUGUGCUAUAUUUCACCAAUUUUAUGAAAUAUUAAUUUUUUGCUCUUUGAUAGGUAAAAAAUGGUAAUGUUUUAAUUUGCAUUUUUGAUUUGCUUUUAAUUGUCUUUCCUUUAUCACUGGAGUCUUAAGUUCAAUUAAAUUAAAAAAGAUUUAAAAACAGGUAAUUUAAAAACACUUAAAAAUUUGUAACUCAUGAAUAUGAUGAAAUAAGCGGAUGGAAACAUAGGAAACUGGCUUAUUAUAUUGGUCAAGUUAGGACUCAUGGACAAUUGAUAGCUCUAAGUGAAAUGAAAAGGUUUUGAGGAGAGGAGGAUUAAAAUGGGGCUGCUGGAAUCUGAAAUCACUCAAUACAUGUUCAGAAAUUUCUAGAACACUCAGGCUGGACGGCAGGUGUUUAAGGCAGCUUUACCCUCCAGUGUGUCCAUUUGGGAAAUUUUUCUCUUGUAGGAACAAUUUGUUUAUUUCAAAGAAAACAAAUGAUUGUUUUUUGAGAAAAUGCAUUUGUGAAUAAAUGCGACCUGGGUAUCCAGUGUCCAGAUCAAUGCAAUAUUUUACUUAUAAGAUGCCAUAGUCAUCUUUCCAUCUAAUUACUAUCAUGAGAUAAAUGAUUCCUUUCACUGAAAACUCCAAAGGCAGUGAAGAACUGUGAGAUCUGGAGGUGUGAUUUGUAGAUCCCGUCUGAGAUGUCUUAAAAGUAAUUAUUGCUAAGCAUAGCCAUGUGCUCUGCUUUUAAGACACACUGGCUGUUGUUCCAAUGAUUUCUAUUGUUGCUGCUUAUACCUGGUACAUGUGUGGUAUUCAUAAGAAUUUUUCACUUUCUGUCUCUCCCUUGAAUAAAGGGAUUUACUUUAUAGACACUUUCUUAACCUUGCUCUGCCGAUUAAAAAAAAGCUUAAGGACCCCACAGAUUUCAUGACUUCAGAAAGCUCAUUCAAGAAAUUCCAGUAAGGAAGAGUGUGCUGGAAAAAAUUACUUUUCUAGAAGAGAAACCAAUACAAUCAGAAUGACUCAGAAUUGAAUUAUAAAUGAUUCAAAGCAAAUGAAUAUUGCUUAUUUAAAAGCCAAGGGUGAGGAGGAACUCUUGUUUUUAGAAUUAUAAGGUGCUCGUCUGUCAUGGGGAUAUAACAGCAAACAGAUAAUAGGGAAAAAGAAUCUGUUGGUUCUCCUAACCCCCUUCUCACUGUUUGUUCUAUUUUGGAUUUAAGAACUAUCUCCAGUAAAGGGAAGUGAAAGGAGUGACUUAGAGGACAAAAUAAGAAUGAGUGAGGGAUAGGUAUUUCAGAGUAUUUGGGACAAAAUUUUAAAAAUGAGAAAAAAGGCAAGCAGACCUGUCUGACCAACGGGAGCUGGGCACAUUCACAACCAGUAAAUUGGGCUCCUGCAUGCUCUAAUUCGUGUUGCACCCUGGACUGCUAACAUGCCUUGGUAAAAAGGAGAAAAGGAAGGAGGGGAAAAAAUCCAUGUGGGAGGCUGUGAGUGCACAGAGUCUGUUCUGAGCUCCCUCCACAGGCAGACAUAGAUCAAUAAAUCAAUAGGGAAUGUUCACUGGCUGUAAAAUGGGUAGAGGAUCCAGUGUCAGGCUGCUCCAAGAUGGAUGGACAGCAGGCUUGCUGUCUGCAGGGAAAGGCCAGAGGUGGCUAUCACCUUGAGAUGAGAUCAGUGACCAACAACCUAACAGCCCUUUGAACUCUGAGUCUAUGAUUGAGGACCUGGACAUGGCUUAAAAGAGUCCCAGUGUGCCCCAUGGUGACAUUCCCCCUACUUGUGCAUCACCCGCAACACUCACACCUUCGGCAGGGCUGAUGGUUUGCCAUGCAGAGCCUGGCCGCUGUCUACCCCUGGCCUGCUGUGCCCUGUCAUUGAAGUAAAGGCUGCAGGAGACCGAAUCAGAAAUUACUAGAUGCCCCAGUGGUAGGAAGCAUCGAUCGUAAAGGGUAGGGAUUUUCUGCACAACAGUUGGAUUUUUCCUUUUAUAUAAAGGGGGUUUAACAUAAUACAGACGGUGCUUUCACAGCAUAGCACUAUAUGUUAACCCUUGCCUUCGUGAACUUAACCUAAAGCUGCUACAGGGAUGGCUGCAGUUGGUCUCUCUGAAAAUUAGAAAAGUGCUUUUCUGUUUGGAGCACAUUAGGUCAGGCCUGCCUGGCUGUGUGGGGGUGGCACUGCUGCCCUAUGGCUGUGCAGGGGCUCUGUUGAAGCAGUGGGUGGUUUCUCAUCCAGCUGCUGCUCAGCCAGUGGGCUGUAGUGUUGUCUAGAUUUCAACAAAGAGCAGGGGACAGCCUGGCUUCAGGGUCCUUGCUACCAUGGUAGGCAGGGGAUGGUAUAUAUUCCUUGUCUUCUCUGUGACCCCAAAUUAUUCUCAGUUUUGAGGACACAUGGCUCCUAACCUCUUAUAACAGAGACCAAGUACUCACCUCGAUUGAGUUCAAAUGCCAUGCUAUCAGCCUCCUGCUUAGUUCUCAGAAUGUGGUUCUGUCCAGAAGGCACAAAUUGCUCAUCCUGGAGAAAAUGUAAAAUAAAAACAUUAUGAGUGAUAUUUUAGCUUAAUAUUCAGGUAAUUUACCAAUAUUUGGGCAUAUGUACAAUAUAUGUAUCAUUAAUUUCUUCAUUUUUUUAUUCAAGAGAUGCCUUUUUAUUUCCUGUUACUUGCCACUCAUAUGCUAGGCAACAUGCAGAAAAUCAAGAAAUUACAGUCUUAGUUCUCGAGGAAUGAAAGGGGUGGUCUGGAAAAGGAUUUCUAAAACUUCUGUUUCUAAUAUAUCUAAAAGCGCUCAUUUAGUUUUUUAAAGGCUUUUAAAAAAUCCUUAAGGUUUUUUUUAAUCGGUGUUUCUGGAUAGACAGAAAAUGCAGUUUUGGGGGAUAGGCAGAAAAAGUAAAACAGAUAUAUUAGAUAUGUAAAUAAAUGAAGGCUGUAUAGUAUAAUGGGAAAUGUAUUGGAGAGGAUUCAUUUAUUCAUUCAUUCAUUCAUUUGACAAAUGUUUAUUGAUUAUUCUGUGCCUGGCAAGCUUGCUGAUAGCAGACUUUCAACAUGGAAUCCUACAAACAAAUGUAUGAACAUAUAGGAUACUAUGCGGGGAGUAGGAGGAGCAUCUCAUUCAGAGGAGGGUAGCAGUCAGUGACGACUUUAAGUAGAGAGUUAAAGGAGGAAAAGCAGUUAGGGUGGAGCAAAGUGGGAGUCUGGGUGGGGCCUCUCAUCCUGAUCCUGUCUCCAACCAGAUGUGUAACUAUAGACAAGAAAAUGGGCCUAUGCUUCUCUACCUAUUAAAUAAAGGGAGUUGGACUAGAUAAUUCAUAUGAAGCCUUUUGGCUUGAGGUAUUAUGACUUUUGAAAAGGGUCUGCUUACAUGAAGGCUCUGUCCAUUAGAAAUACCAUUCUCAGGAGUUCCCGUUGUGGCACAGUGGUUAACGAAUCCGACUAGGAACCAUGAGGUUGCGGGUUCGGUCCCUGCCCUUGCUCAGUGGGUUAAUGAUCCGGCGUUGCUGUGAGCUGUGGUGUAGGUUGCAGACGCGACUCGGAUCCCACGUUGCUGUGGCUCCGGUGUAGGCUGGCAGCUACAGCUCUGAUUCAACCCCUAGCCUGGGAACUUCCAUCUGCUGCAGGUGCAGCC
RNAcentral lists this long non-coding RNA (5022 nucleotides) under Sus scrofa (pig). RNAcentral describes it as "lncRNA (ENSSSCG00000056556.1)". Lineage: Eukaryota; Metazoa; Chordata; Mammalia; Artiodactyla; Suidae. The record is from RNAcentral.